GUGGCUCCUGCAGUGACUGACUCUAAGGAAGCAGCAACAGCACCUUUGUCUCCACUUAGGUGAAAGGACUGCGCUAGCCAUGAAUAGCCGGCACAAGUCCCUGACUUGUUCAGUGUAGGAAGAGAAACCCUCAAGGAACAGGAGCUGGCUGCUUUGCAGGUUCUAUAAAUCCUCAGGCACUGUUGGAGUCUUUCUGAAGGACAUAAUAGUCCCACCAUGAAUGCUAAGAUCUCAAUUCACCCUUUUCUUGGAAAGCCUGAUGCAGCCUUCUUGUCCAAAGGUCUCUGGAGCCAUGUUCUUCAUGUCAUAGUUCUGAUGCUCUUCCCAUUCAUUCCUGUCUCCUAGAUGCUCAGAUUCGCCAAGAUGCAGUUACUUCCCUCUUCUGCAAAUAUUCCUUCAAUUACUUUGUUUUUGUUUUUUAAAUAUUUAUUAUACCAAUAUUAUAACAAUAAAAAUAUUUUAUAAGUGAAAAGAUAUAAAUCCAAGUUCAGAAAUCUUUCAUUUUUUUUCAUGUUCUCUUCCGGCCUUGUUUAUAAGUGGAUGACAUAUUUAUGCAGUUUUCAUACUUGAAUAAAAUUUUUAUAGUCCUGUAUAAUCUGCUGCACCUGGGAUCAAUUUCAGGGGGACAUUAAAGGGUUGUCAAUAUUGAUGAUCAGACACAUGGCACUUAUCUGUUUAUGGCCACUUGUGAGAAAGGUAUUUUUUUAAAUAAGGUUAGAAGUAGAUACUUCCCUCUUAAAACUCUAUUUUUGG
Molecule: long non-coding RNA, 753 nt
Filed under: Pan troglodytes (chimpanzee)
Lineage: Eukaryota; Metazoa; Chordata; Mammalia; Primates; Hominidae
Description: lncRNA (ENSPTRG00000054214.1)
Source: RNAcentral